UGGGUUUAACUGAAAAUAGCCAAAACGACUUUUUUUGGCAUUUUCCAUUUUAUUUAUAAAUUUUAAACUCGUUUUUGAAAUUUUUUUUAUGAAAAUAGGUAAGUAAAUGUGUCUUCAAUGUUUUCGAAAAUUAAAAACUGAAAAUGACUUGAAAACAGCAAGGAGAACAGGCCCUAGUUUUUCUUACCAAUCAUAUGUGAACGCGUACAAAGUAGGAGAAUAAAUAUAUAAAAUACCCAAGUUUGAGCAAAUCCCAACUCCCAAGGGUGUAUGCAAAAGGUUAUGAGAUGAGGCCUGUAAGGUGUAUGCAAAAGGUUAUGACACAAGGCAUGUACGGUGUUCCUUGUUUCUUUUUGGGUUGGGAUGUUGGGAGAAGGGUAAAAGAAAGCAAGCUAAGGGGUUGGGUCCAAAUUUACCCUUGUUGAGUUACAACAGGCCAGACAGAGAAGGGAAGGGAAGGGAAGGGAAACAGGGGAAGAUGUUGAGUUGUACGCUGCUUGCAGAACAGUAUUGCUGAAAUUGGAUUAACAAAUGUUCAUUGCUUUGGACCGUAUUUCUGCAUAAUUGAGUUAUAUGCACCGUGCUCGCCCAAUGGUGGUUUUGCUGAAUAAUCAUUGUGGAAGCUUGGAAAUAAAGGAAAAUUAAUCAACAAAUCAUUAAAUUGAGUAAUCAUCCACAUAUGAUGCAAAAAUCACUAUUUCACAGCCUCUUCAAAUCCUCCUAAAGAGGUGUGCUGGCAGGUUCCUGAUAAAGCUAAUACUAGGAAAAAUAUCAAGUAUUCCGAGAGAAACGAUUGUGCUUUUCAAAUAUCAGGUGAUGUACAACAACCUUCCAACUCUAGAAGACCAGAUUCUCAACAUUUCACUAAUGAGCUAAGAGCUAUU
Molecule: long non-coding RNA, 884 nt
Filed under: Olea europaea subsp. europaea
Lineage: Eukaryota; Viridiplantae; Streptophyta; Magnoliopsida; Lamiales; Oleaceae
Source: RNAcentral